RNAcentral lists this long non-coding RNA (966 nucleotides) under Daphnia pulex (common water flea). RNAcentral's name for it is "uncharacterized LOC124202017, transcript variant X5". The record is from RNAcentral. Lineage: Eukaryota; Metazoa; Arthropoda; Branchiopoda; Diplostraca; Daphniidae.
AUUUUUUUCAAACUCAUAAUACUCUACUGAAUGUGCCAUCGAAAUGAUACAGGAAUCAUCUUAAAUAUUGUCUGUUUCUAUUGGACUUGCUAGUUCACCAACUCCAGAGACCAAUCUCUCAUUCCAUCUUCUAGAGAACCUUGAAUAACUGAUUGGCGGUUUCAUGUAGACAAUUUCGAGUGUAGGCCUAUACUGUUUAAUGAUUCUUUUAGAUCAUAGACGUCAAGCACAUUGAUGACACAAACAAGAAAAAGAAUAGACUAUACAGUCAACACAAUUCCUUGUUUGCUGACCUGUUGGCUGCUCCCCUUGAAUCUCCCUGUUUGUCAACAACAAAAAAAGAGAUAUGGCCUAUAUAUAAGAUCAAAUGUGUCGUUGUCCCUCCAAAAUAAGUCAAUGACCACACGUCCAACACAGAUUAUUCGUUCUGUCAUCGAACUUGACUCAUUCCAUCUUCUGGAUUGCUCAGGAAACCUGAUUGGCGUUAUCUGUCCAUUUAGGUAAUGACCGAGAAGAUGCGGCCUACAUGAAUAUCAUUUCGUCGGCCAUUAUCAUUCGACUACCCAACCGGCUUCUACUACCCUGGUCUCAACACAGCACGGAGUUUUACCCUUAAGAUUUUUGGCUGUUUUUCGCGAUGUGUGAUAUUUCGUUAGAUGAGAUGUUGAUUUUGGCGAGAAAAAUAUUGCGUCUGAAUAUUACUCAUUGAAUGAUAUAUUGACCCAUCCCCAGCAACGUCAACCUGGAGAAGGAUAGGCCACUUUGCAUGGCCUUAACGCUCGAAGGUCACGGAGAUCAUUACGUAAAACGUAUCAUGUAGUGGUGUAGAGGUUGGGUGAGAAAGGGACAUGUUGCUUCAUUAUAUGCUUCAUAACCAUUUGGUAUUCAUUUUGAUAUUGGUUUUUGUAGACCCAUCCCCUGCAAAAGGAAAGGCCAGUUGGACGCUCGAAGGUCACGGAGAUCAUU